RNAcentral lists this transfer RNA (72 nucleotides) under Acropoma japonicum. Its description in RNAcentral is "tRNA-Val". It matches the Rfam family "tRNA". Rfam says of the family: Transfer RNA (tRNA) molecules are approximately 80 nucleotides in length. The record is from RNAcentral. Lineage: Eukaryota; Metazoa; Chordata; Actinopteri; Acropomatiformes; Acropomatidae.
CAGGAUAUAGCUGAAAUAGUAAAGCUCCUCCCUUACACUGAGAAGUUGUCCGUGCAAAUCGGACUGUCCUGA